GACGAACGCUGGCGGCGUGCUUAACACAUGCAAGUCGAACGGUGAAGCUCCAGCUUGCUGGAGUGGAUCAGUGGCGAACGGGUGAGUAACACGUGAGCAACCUGCCCCUGACUCGGGAAUAAGCGCUGGAAACGGCGUCUAAUACUGGAUACGAAAAGGUUCCGCAGGGGCACUUUCUGGAAAGUUUUUCGGUUGGGGAUGGGCUCGCGGCCUAUCAGCUUGUUGGUGAGGUAAUGGCUCACCAAGGCGACGACGGGUAGCCGGCCUGAGAGGGCGACCGGCCACACUGGGACUGAGACACGGCCCAGACUCCUACGGGAGGCAGCAGUGGGGAAUAUUGCACAAUGGGCGAAAGCCUGAUGCAGCGACGCCGCGUGAGGGAUGACGGCCUUCGGGUUGUAAACCUCUUUCAGCAGGGAAGAAGCGAAAGUGACGGUACCUGCAGAAGAAGCACCGGCUAACUACGUG
Molecule: ribosomal RNA, 468 nt
Filed under: uncultured bacterium
Lineage: Bacteria
Description: partial 16S ribosomal RNA
Rfam family: Bacterial small subunit ribosomal RNA
Source: RNAcentral